UUAUCCCGAUAUUGUAUGAUCCCCAUUCCCAUUGACCUAUUCUAUGUUUGGAUUCACGGGGACACAAGAUGCGUGUCUUAAGUGUCACCUACUGAGCAUAUAGCUCACCCUGCAUACUUAUUAUUUUUUUCAGGUCAUGGCAAAGAAACGGCGGAUGACAAUCCUCCGCAAACUUGAAAGUUGUUAGAAGGUCAUGGCAAAGAAACGGCGGAUGACAAUCCUCCGCAAACUUGAAAGUUGUUAGAAGGUUGUUUGCUAUUUUGUAUUUUGACCAUUCUAUGUAUAUUCAUAGUUGUGGAAAUGUAACUAAGUUAGUAUUCAUGGCCUUGUAAUUUAAGAACGAACUUAUCUUUUGUUUAAUGUAAAUGAAACUAAUGGAAUCAUGGUAUAUAUUUCCAUGUAA
Long non-coding RNA from Cornus florida, 403 nucleotides. RefSeq lists it as uncharacterized. Lineage: Eukaryota; Viridiplantae; Streptophyta; Magnoliopsida; Cornales; Cornaceae. The transcript is spliced from 2 exons. The record is from RefSeq and is a predicted model, not a curated record.